GGGUGUGCAGAUAUAUUUAUAAACCGAUUGACCCGAUUGACCCGAUCAGAUCCACCCGAUAAAAGCCGGGUUACAAUUUAAGUGGGUCGUCUGAAGAAUUAUACGGGCGAAACCGCAGCUAAAGAACCAACCCGUAUCCCAUCUGUCCCAAGUUCCAACUCCCUCCGUCUUCAACAUAGCCCCCCCUCUCUCUCUCUCUCGACCUCUCUCAUCACCGUGGGUCUCUAUUUCUCUCGCUCUCUCUCUCUCUCUCUCUCUCUCUCUCUCUCUCUCACACACACACACACACAGACGGCGGCGUGGGUCUCUCUCUCUCUCACUCUCACUCUCUCUCUUCGGCCGCAGCUCCAAGAUCAGCUUCGGCGUGGGUCUCGACUCUCCAAGACGGAGGUAUGUUCCUUUUCAUAAAACCCUUCAGAUCAACUCAUAAUUUAUUCACAAGGCCAUACCUGUGCAUCAUGAUUCAUAACCCCAAUACAGACCUACACAGAAAUUAAUAAUCUCAUUUGCUAGCAAAUAACCUUCUGUUGUGUGUAUUUUUAUAUUCGGAUUUGUUGGGCUGUAAUUGCGGUGGUGAUAAGAAAAUCUUAAUCAUUUUCUAGUUUUCUUUGAUAAUGUUUCCUAAAAAUGGAAAAUCUGUAAUUGAGGAGGCCCAAGUUUUAUCGAUUUUUCUCUUCAGCCUUUCUAUUAUGCCCUGAGAUAUUAUUAUUAGUAUAAGAAUUGGUUAAAAAGGAUGUUGGGUUUUUUCUUUUUGGAUGGUUGCUGAAUUUUCGCCAUUAUUGGUUAAGAUUAAUGUGAACUAUUUUUGGAAAGUAUCGUCCUUUUUGGAGGGUUGUUGAAUUUUUCCCCAUUGCUUUGUUUUAUACAUUCUUUUGGUUAAUGGCUGGAAUAUUCCUGGCAGAGGGAAUAAUUUAAGGCCAAUUUACAGUAUUAAAUUUAGAGAUCUAAAUGGAUGUGGGGGGUUUUUUUUCUUAUAGGAUGUAAUUGCACAAAGAUUUGGGUGAAUGAUUUCUUGAAUUGAAGGGUUCUUGCUGCUUACUUCGUACUCUAGAAAUCAUACUCCUUUUGGAGGACAGAUGCAUUGGAUUGGGUUUAAGUAAAUAUCCUAGGGUACUUAUUUCUGCCAUGAACAGGGAGCUACCCACUUCUCCAUUUUGUCUUUAAGAAUGAAAAUGAUAGCAUGAUUCAUUUCAGGAAUGGUAUAAGUUAUAUCUUUAGAAUCUGAAUGGUAUAAGUUAGGAUUACAAAAUAAAUGCAUUACAGGAAUUCUUAAUAAUUAAUUACUCCUAUUAAUUGCUUUUACCUUAAUGUUCUGUUCUGUACUCAUUAAUUAAAUUAGUAUCAAAACCAAAUUAAUAAGAUACAAUUAAUGUAAUCAUCAUUAUGAGAUUUGGGUUAUCAAUUUGAAUUCAUAGCAUAACAAGAUUUGAUUUUGGUCAAUCCACAUCAAACAUAACAGGUUUCUGUUGUGAUAGAGAAUUUGAUCCCCAAUCAAGCUUUAUUUAUGUUGAUGAUGAGUGACUUAAGGCUUAUGGUCUACACAUUCUAUAUUGUUUAUUGUUUAUGUUAUGGAUGGCCUAUGGGAUGUAAUGUAGUGGAUAGAUGAAUGGAUUUGUGAGAAAGGCUGGAUGUUAUAUUCAUGUUUAUUUUUAGUUCAUGAAUUU
Long non-coding RNA from Carya illinoinensis, 1664 nucleotides. RefSeq lists it as uncharacterized. The transcript is spliced from 2 exons. The record is from RefSeq and is a predicted model, not a curated record. NCBI's taxonomy places the organism in Eukaryota, Viridiplantae, Streptophyta, Magnoliopsida, Fagales, Juglandaceae.